Long non-coding RNA from Saccostrea cuccullata (small rock oyster), 356 nucleotides. RefSeq lists it as uncharacterized. The record is from RefSeq and is a predicted model, not a curated record. NCBI's taxonomy places the organism in Eukaryota, Metazoa, Mollusca, Bivalvia, Ostreida, Ostreidae. The transcript is spliced from 3 exons.
CUGAAUUGUCAAAGAGAGUGUACAUGUAGCCUCUUUGGUUACAAUACAAUAUUAAAAAACUGCCGGAUACACAGGGGGGACUUCACUUCCGGAAUAUCAGAGGAGACCGGAUGGAGAUACUUUUCUCAUUAUUAUCUUCCCGUGGAUUGUGAGGAUAUUCGUCGUAAUGGUCACCAUUGUACAGGGGUUUACGUAAUCUAUCCCUUUGGUAUGAACUCUCGCCCUGUCCGUGUGUACUGUGACAUGACAAAUCAGGGCGGAGGAUGGACGGCCAUUCAAAAACGAAUAGACGGGUCCGUGUCCUUCGAAAGGAAUUGGGCUGACUAUAAGGAUGGUUUUGGUGCACCUGAGCGGGA